This 433-nucleotide ribosomal RNA is filed under the name uncultured bacterium. RNAcentral describes it as "partial 16S ribosomal RNA". It matches the Rfam family "Bacterial small subunit ribosomal RNA", at positions 29 to 507 of the family's 1533-position model. The record is from RNAcentral.
AAUGAACGCUGGCGGCAUGCCUAACACAUGCAAGUCGAACGAAGGCUUCGGCCUUAGUGGCGCACGGGUGCGUAACGCGUGGGAAUCUGCCCUUGGGUUCGGAAUAACGGGUAGAAAUGACUGCUAAUACCGGAUGAUGUCGUAAGACCAAAGAUUUAUCGCCCAAGGAUGAGCCCGCGUAGGAUUAGCUAGUUGGUGGGGUAAAGGCCUACCAAGGCGACGAUCCUUAGCUGGUCUGAGAGGAUGAUCAGCCACACUGGGACUGAGACACGGCCCAGACUCCUACGGGAGGCAGCAGUGGGGAAUAUUGGACAAUGGGCGAAAGCCUGAUGCAGCAAUGCCGCGUGAGUGAUGAAGGCCUUAGGGUUGUAAAGCUCUUUUACCCGGGAUGAUAAUGACAGUACCGGAAGAAUAAGCUCCGGCUAACUUCGUG